RNAcentral lists this ribosomal RNA (208 nucleotides) under uncultured bacterium. Its description in RNAcentral is "partial 16S ribosomal RNA". It matches the Rfam family "Bacterial small subunit ribosomal RNA", at positions 524 to 731 of the family's 1533-position model. The record is from RNAcentral.
GACAGAGGGUGCAAACGUUGCUCGGAAUUACUGGGCGUAAAGGGCGUGUAGGCGGGAAGGCAAGUCGGGCGUGAAAGCCCCAGGCUCAACCUGGGAACUGCACUCGAAACUGCCUUUCUUGAGUGCCGGAGAGGAAAGCGGAAUUCCUGGUGUAGAGGUGAAAUUCGUAGAUAUCAGGAGGAACACCAGUGGCGAAGGCGGCUUUCUG